CCUACGGGGGGCAGCAGUGGGGAAUAUUGCACAAUGGGGGAAACCCUGAUGCAGCGACGCCGCGUGAGUGAAGAAGUAAUUCGUUACGUAAAGCUCUAUCAGCAGGGAAGAAACACUGACCUUACGGUCAGCAGACGGUACCUGAGUAAGAAGCCCCGGCUAACUACGUGCCAGCAGCCGCGGUAAGACGUAGGGGGCCAGCGUUAUCCGGAUUUACUGGGUGUAACGGGAGCGUAGACGGUGCGGCAAGUCUGGAGUGAAAGGUCUCAGCUUAACUGCGGAAUUGCAUGGGAAACUGGCGAACUAGAGUGCAGGAGGGGUAAGCGGAAUUCCUAGUGUAGCGGUGAAAUGCGUAGAUAUCAGGAGGAACACCGGUGGCGAAGGCAGCUUACUGGACCGUAACUGACGUUGAGGCUCGAAAGCGUGGGGAGCAAACAGGAUUAGAUACCCCAGUAGUC
RNAcentral lists this ribosomal RNA (458 nucleotides) under uncultured bacterium. Its description in RNAcentral is "partial 16S ribosomal RNA". It matches the Rfam family "Bacterial small subunit ribosomal RNA", at positions 338 to 795 of the family's 1533-position model. The record is from RNAcentral.